Long non-coding RNA from Carassius auratus (goldfish), 404 nucleotides. RefSeq lists it as uncharacterized. The transcript is spliced from 5 exons. NCBI's taxonomy places the organism in Eukaryota, Metazoa, Chordata, Actinopteri, Cypriniformes, Cyprinidae. The record is from RefSeq and is a predicted model, not a curated record.
CUUGCUGGUCAUCUUAUUGAGUGUGGUGCACAGGCCACAGGAGGGAUUUCCACAGACUGGCACAUGGCUCCUGACUGAUCUCCAGUUCUGAAACCUUUCUUUUUCCUGCAGCCCAAAGCAGAUCUGGAGGUGCACAUUCAUGUGAAUGGGGGGCUUGUGGAGACACACAGAGAGGCAGUAUUAGGGCCUUCAUUCACAAAGGACACGACCCUUCCCUUCAAUCAGAGGAAAAUAGCCCAACACCCUCAGAUCUGCACAGACACAAACAGAGAGAAGAACCUGGAGACACGUCAUUAGAGCAUCACAGAGGGCUGAUUAUCUGCCCUCCGGCCAACAUACUUUCAGACUGGAUGCGUUAGCAUACACGUGCAGUGGAGACAAAGGGGACUCCUCAAACAUCGGUA